This 73-nucleotide transfer RNA is filed under the name Chryseobacterium contaminans. Its description in RNAcentral is "tRNA_Leu_TAG". It matches the Rfam family "tRNA". From Rfam's summary of the family: Transfer RNA (tRNA) molecules are approximately 80 nucleotides in length. Their secondary structure includes four short double-helical elements and three loops (D, anti-codon, and T loops). The record is from RNAcentral. Lineage: Bacteria; Pseudomonadati; Bacteroidota; Flavobacteriia; Flavobacteriales; Weeksellaceae.
GCGGGAAUGGUGGAACGGUAGACACACUUGAUUUAGGAUCAAGGCACUGAGGGUUCGAAUCCCUCUUCCCGUA